Molecule: ribosomal RNA, 379 nt
Filed under: uncultured eukaryote
Lineage: Eukaryota
Description: partial 18S ribosomal RNA
Rfam family: Eukaryotic small subunit ribosomal RNA
Source: RNAcentral
CAAUAGCGUAUAUUAAAGUUGUUGCAGUUAGAACGCUCGUAGUCGGAUUUCGGGGCGGGCCGACCGGUCUGCCGAUGGGUAUGCACUGGUCGGCGCGUCCUUCCUUCCGGAGACCGUCCCUACUCUUAACUGAGCGGGGGCGGGAGACGGGACUUUUACUUUGAAAAAAUCAGAGUGUUUCAAGCAGGCAGCUCGCUCUUGCAUGGAUUAGCAUGGGAUAAUGAAAUAGGACUUUGGUGCUAUUUUGUUGGUUUCGAACACCGAAGUAAUGAUGAGAAGGGACAGUCAGGGGCACUCGUAUUCCGCAGAGAGAGGUGAAAUUCUCAGACCCGCGGAAGACGAACCACUGCGAAAGCAUUUGCCAGGGAUGUUUUCACUG